AAACAACCUGGCGGCGUGCCUAACACAUGCAAGUCGAGCGCGAAUGGAGCAAUCCUAGUAGAGCGGCGCACGGGUGAGUAACACGUGGGUAAUCUGCCUGGAAGUCCGGGACAACCUGCCGAAAGGCUGGCUAAUACCGGAUAAGCCCACAGGGUCUUCGGACCCCGAGGGAAAAGAUGGCCUCUGCAUGCAAGCUAUCACUUCCAGAUGAGCCCGCGACCCAUCAGCUAGUUGGCGGGGUAAUGGCCCACCAAGGCAACGACGGGUAGCUGGUCUGAGAGGACGAUCAGCCACACUGGAACUGAGACACGGUCCAGACUCCUACGGGAGGCAGCAGUGGGGAAUUUUGCGCAAUGGGCGAAAGCCUGACGCAGCAACGCCGCGUGUGUGAUGAAGGUCUUCGGAUCGUAAAGCACUUUCGACUGGGACGAAAACCCGCUGGCUAACAUCCAGCGGUCUGACGGUACCGGGAGAAGAAGCACCGGCUAACUCUGUGCCAGCAGCCGCGGUAAUACAGAGGGUGCAAGCGUUGUUCGGAAUUAUUGGGCGUAAAGCGCGUGUA
This 562-nucleotide ribosomal RNA is filed under the name uncultured bacterium. RNAcentral describes it as "bacterial SSU rRNA". It matches the Rfam family "Bacterial small subunit ribosomal RNA", at positions 28 to 573 of the family's 1533-position model. The record is from RNAcentral.